GUAGGUAUAGCUCAGUUGGUUAGAGCAUCUGGUUGUGGUUCAGAGGGUCGUGGGUUCGAGCCCCAUUACUUACCCCA
RNAcentral lists this transfer RNA (77 nucleotides) under Arcobacter sp. RNAcentral describes it as "tRNA-His". It matches the Rfam family "tRNA". Rfam says of the family: Transfer RNA (tRNA) molecules are approximately 80 nucleotides in length. Their secondary structure includes four short double-helical elements and three loops (D, anti-codon, and T loops). Lineage: Bacteria; Pseudomonadati; Campylobacterota; Epsilonproteobacteria; Campylobacterales; Arcobacteraceae. RNAcentral also lists the same sequence under 3 other names. The record is from RNAcentral.